This 436-nucleotide ribosomal RNA is filed under the name uncultured bacterium. Its description in RNAcentral is "bacterial SSU rRNA". It matches the Rfam family "Bacterial small subunit ribosomal RNA", at positions 954 to 1392 of the family's 1533-position model. The record is from RNAcentral.
AUGGGAACGCGAAGAACCUUACCUAGACUUGACAUCCCCUGAAUAACGUAGAGAUACGCGAAGCCCUUCGGGGCAGGGAGACAGGUGGUGCAUGGUUGUCGUCAGCUCGUGUCGUGAGAUGUUGGGUUAAGUCCCGCAACGAGCGCAACCCUUAUCAUUAGUUGCUACCAUUUAGUUGAGCACUCUAGUGAGACUGCCCGGGUUAACCGGGAGGAAGGUGGGGAUGACGUCAAAUCAUCAUGCCCCUUAUGUCUGGGGCUACACACGUGCUACAAUGGUGGGAACAAAGAGAUGCAAGACCGCGAGGUGGAGCCAAACUCAAAAACCCAUCCCAGUUCGGAUUGUAGGCUGAAACUCGCCUACAUGAAGCUGGAGUUGCUAGUAAUCGCGAAUCAGAAUGUCGCGGUGAAUACGUUCCCGGGUCUUGUACACACCG